AUUGAACGCUGGCGGCAGGCCUAACACAUGCAAGUCGAACGGUAGCACAGAGAGCUUGCUCUCGGGUGACGAGUGGCGGACGGGUGAGUAACGUCUGGGAAACUGCCCGAUGGAGGGGGAUAACUACUGGAAACGGUAGCUAAUACCGCAUAACGUCGCAAGACCAAAGUGGGGGACCUUCGGGCCUCACACCAUCGGAUGUGCCCAUAUGGGAUUAGCUAGUAGGUGGGGUAAUGGCUCACCUAGGCGACGAUCCCUAGCUGGUCUGAAAGGAUGACCAGCCACACUGGAACUGAGACACGGUCCAGACUCCUACGGGAGGCAGCAGUGGGGAAUAUUGCACAAUGGGCGCGAGCCUGAUGCAGCCAUGCCGCGUGUAUGAAGAAGGCCUUCGGGUUGUAAAGUACUUUCAGCGGGGAGGAAGGCGGUGAAGUUAAUAGCUUCACCGAUUGACGUUACCCGCAGAAGAAGCACCGGCUAACUCCGUGCCAGCAGCCGCCGUAA
RNAcentral lists this ribosomal RNA (504 nucleotides) under uncultured bacterium. Its description in RNAcentral is "partial 16S ribosomal RNA". It matches the Rfam family "Bacterial small subunit ribosomal RNA", at positions 30 to 523 of the family's 1533-position model. The record is from RNAcentral.